UACAUGGGGUGCAAACGUUGCUCGGAAUUAUUGGGCGUAAAGGGCUCGUAGGCGGUCUGUCACGUCGGGAGUGAAAACUCGGGGCUUAACCCCGAGCCUGCUUCCGAUACGGGCAGACUAGAGGUAUGCAGGGGAGAAUGGAAUUCCUGGUGUAGCGGUGAAAUGCGCAGAUAUCAGGAGGAACACCGGUGGCGAAGGCGGUUCUCUGGGCAUUACCUGACGCUGAGGAGCGAAAGCCAGGGGAGCAAACGGG
This 253-nucleotide ribosomal RNA is filed under the name uncultured bacterium. Its description in RNAcentral is "partial 16S ribosomal RNA". It matches the Rfam family "Bacterial small subunit ribosomal RNA", at positions 524 to 776 of the family's 1533-position model. The record is from RNAcentral.